Molecule: ribosomal RNA, 465 nt
Filed under: uncultured Klebsiella sp.
Lineage: Bacteria; Pseudomonadati; Pseudomonadota; Gammaproteobacteria; Enterobacterales; Enterobacteriaceae
Description: bacterial SSU rRNA
Rfam family: Bacterial small subunit ribosomal RNA
Source: RNAcentral
CCUACGGGAGGCAGCAGUGGGGAAUAUUGCACAAUGGGCGCAAGCCUGAUGCAGCCAUGCCGCGUGUGUGAAGAAGGCCUUCGGGUUGUAAAGCACUUUCAGCGGGGAGGAAGGCGGUGAGGUUAAUAACCUCAUCGAUUGACGUUACCCGCAGAAGAAGCACCGGCUAACUCCGUGCCAGCAGCCGCGGUAAUACGGAGGGUGCAAGCGUUAAUCGGAAUUACUGGGCGUAAAGCGCACGCAGGCGGUCUGUCAAGUCGGAUGUGAAAUCCCCGGGCUCAACCUGGGAACUGCAUUCGAAACUGGCAGGCUAGAGUCUUGUAGAGGGGGGUAGAAUUCCAGGUGUAGCGGUGAAAUGCGUAGAGAUCUGGAGGAAUACCGGUGGCGAAGGCGGCCCCCUGAACAAAGACUGACGCUCAGGUGCGAAAGCGUGGGGAGCAAACAGGAUUAGAUACCCUAGUAGUC